GACGUAGGGCGCGAGCGUUGUCCGGAUUUAUUGGGCGUAAAGAGCUCGUAGGCGGCUUGUCGCGUCGUCCGUGAAAACCUGCAGCUCAACUGCAGGCUUGCGGUCGAUACGGGCAGGCUAGAGUUCGGUAGGGGAGACUGGAAUUCCUGGUGUAGCGGUGAAAUGCGUAGAGAUCCGGAGGAACACCAGCGGCGAAGGCGGCGUCCUGGACUGGUACUGACGCUCAGGAGCGAAAGCGUGGGGAGCGAGCCGG
Molecule: ribosomal RNA, 253 nt
Filed under: uncultured bacterium
Lineage: Bacteria
Description: partial 16S ribosomal RNA
Rfam family: Bacterial small subunit ribosomal RNA
Source: RNAcentral